This 317-nucleotide long non-coding RNA is filed under the name Mustela putorius furo (domestic ferret). RNAcentral describes it as "lncRNA (ENSMPUG00000027990.1)". Lineage: Eukaryota; Metazoa; Chordata; Mammalia; Carnivora; Mustelidae. The record is from RNAcentral.
ACCCAUUGUAAAUAAAGAGUUUGAUGAUUUUUAGUACAUUUAUAUAGUUGGGCACAUCACCCUAAUACUACUCCUUCAUAGGUGGCCACCCCCUGUUUCUACUCCUGUCUCCGAUGGCCUCCAUUUCUUCCUUUCGGCUCAGUGUUCACAAAAGAGACUGGUCGUGCUCCUGGAAUUAACUCAAGCAAAUCCCUGAAGGUUAUUGAAAUCAUACCCAUGGAAAGUCAACCUUGGAAUGCCCUGGCAAUACCCGGGAGUGGGAUGGGGCAUAAGUGCCAAGUGUGUGAUGAGGUGGGUCUGGGAGAUACUGGGAUCAC